Aedes aegypti (yellow fever mosquito) is the source of this 158-nucleotide non-coding RNA. Lineage: Eukaryota; Metazoa; Arthropoda; Insecta; Diptera; Culicidae. The record is from Rfam.
GCCGCUGAAGCCGUGAGCCGUGCCUUUCGGAGAAGGCAACACAAGUACUGGGAACCCAAGCGGACGGGAAUAGACCCAUUCUUCCAGGUCAUUGUCGGCGGAAUGGUGUUCUUCUAUGCCAUCAACUACGGCGAACUGAAGCACCACAGGAACUACAA